UACGUAGGGGGCAAGCGUUGUCCGGAUUUAUUGGGCGUAAAGAGCGUGUAGGCGGCCAGGUAGGUCUGCUGUGAAAACUCGAGGCUUAACCUCGAGCUGUCGGCGGAAACCAUCUGGCUAGAGUCCGGAAGAGGAGAAUGGAAUUCCCGGUGUAGCGGUGAAAUGCGUAGAUAUCGAGAGGAACACCUGCGGCGAAGGCGGGUUGCUGGGCUGCAACUGACACUGAUGAACGAAAGCCAGGGGAGCAAACGGG
This 253-nucleotide ribosomal RNA is filed under the name uncultured bacterium. Its description in RNAcentral is "partial 16S ribosomal RNA". It matches the Rfam family "Bacterial small subunit ribosomal RNA", at positions 524 to 776 of the family's 1533-position model. The record is from RNAcentral.